CUCAACACAGACUCGGCGAAAUUGCAUUACGAGUAAAGAUGCUCGUUACGCGCGGCAGGACGAAAAGACCCCGGGACCUUCACUAUAGCUUGGUAUUGGUGUUCGGUUCGGUUUGUGUAGGAUAGGUGGGAGACUGUGAAGCGGGCACGCCAGUGUUCGUGGAGUCGUUGUUGAAAUACCACUCUGAUCGUAUUGGACAUCUAACCUCGGACCAUGAUCUGGUUCAGGGACAGUGCCUGGUGGGUAGUUUAACUGGGGCGGUUGCCUCCCAAAAUGUAACGGAGGCGCCAAAGGUUCCCUCAGCCUGGUUGGCAAUCAGGUGUCGAGUGCAAGUGCACAAGGGAGCUUGACUGUGAGACUGACAGGUCGAGCAGGGACGAAAGUCGGGACUAGUGAUCCGGCACCGGCAAGUGGAAGCGGUGUCGCUCAACGGAUAAAAGGUACCCGGGGAUAACAGGCUGAUCUUCCCAAGAGUCCAUAUCGACGGGAUGGUUUGGCACCUCGAUGUCGGCUCGUCGCAUCCUGGGGCUGGAGUAGGUCCCAAGGGUUGGGCUGUUCGCCCAUUAAAGCGGCACGCGAGCUGGGUUUAGAACGUCGUGAGACAGUUCGGUCUCUAUCCGCCGCGCGCGUUAGAAACUUGAGGAAGGCUGUCCCUAGUACGAGAGGACCGGGACGGACGAACCUCUGGUGUGCCAGUUGUUCCGCCAGGAGCACUGCUGGUUAGCUACGUUCGGAAGGGAUAACCGCUGAAAGCAUCUAAGCGGGAAGCCUGUUCCAAGAUGAGGUUUCUCACCCCCUCGAGGGGGUAAGGCCCCGGCAGACCACCGGGUUGAUAGGCCAGAACUGGAAGCACAGUAAUGUGUGGAGGUGACUGGUACUAAUAGGCCGAGGACUUACCACAA
This 902-nucleotide ribosomal RNA is filed under the name Rhodococcus (subgen. Prescottella) equi. RNAcentral's name for it is "Rhodococcus hoagii partial 23S ribosomal RNA". It matches the Rfam family "Bacterial large subunit ribosomal RNA", at positions 2020 to 2925 of the family's 2925-position model. The record is from RNAcentral. Lineage: Bacteria; Bacillati; Actinomycetota; Actinomycetes; Mycobacteriales; Nocardiaceae.